Molecule: long non-coding RNA, 850 nt
Organism: Zingiber officinale
Lineage: Eukaryota; Viridiplantae; Streptophyta; Magnoliopsida; Zingiberales; Zingiberaceae
Exons: 3
Source: RefSeq, a predicted model, not a curated record
GAACGAUAAUCUGUCUGUAAACUUUUGUUUUAAUUAUUUUUCAAAUGUAUUUUAGUAAAUAAUUAAUUUCGAUCCUUUUAGUGGAAAUGUCUCGCAGCCUUCUUACUCGUAUAUGGUCGUUCACGAGGAAAAACCCUAGCUCUUCAUCGCUGGCUCGUUUCCUCUCGAUCUGCUGCGCAGCUUCGACUUUACUAUUCUGCCGAUUUGGAAACGGAUCAGAAUGAAGGCCGGACGGACGACCAGACUCGACUAACAAAACCUUGAAGAUCCAGCCGAGGGGAAAUUGAACCAAUCAGACUUCGGAGAAUACCAUCGCCGCCGAGGGCGAUAGAAAUGGAAGGACAGCUGCUCCGCCACCAUCUCCUUCUCCCGGCGUCUAUUCGAGCAGCGGCAGGACUUCCGGUUCGAGAGUAGAGUGGCAGACCCUCACCAAGGGAAAUUUCUCGUCUCAGAUUCGCCUCCACCCACAGAUCCUUCUCGUGGUCACUGUCCCUUGGUUUAAUGAAGCACGAACAUUAAUGAAGGAAGUCUCAUACUGGGUGGCUAAUGACGAGGAACUUAAAUUUCUAAAACUAUUGGUUAUUAAUAGGAGUUCUGAGAAGAUGCUAACUGACAUCCUUGGUGCUAAAGAUUAGAUAACAAUAUACUACUAUCAUAAUUCAACGUCACACAAGUAUCAUGGGAGACCUAGCACACAAAGUUUACUAUUUUCAGUCCAUUUCUUUUUGUCACUUAAGCCCAAUGAGAUUCCUCUGAAGCCUCUGCAAACUCCAGAAGGUCUUGAAAACUUUUUUUCAAAUCAACAGAUAAAGCUGUUCUUCUCCUUGAGUUAUGUGGAUGGUCAGCCUAA